UUAUACUACCAAAAGGAUAAGUCCUUUGUUCGGUCGAUAGUUGGAUACUGAUUUUUAGUAAAUUAAGCGUAUGGAAAGUACGUCAGCCCAACUGGGGAGGAGCUACUUUAGUAGCUCCUUUUCUUUGUCUA
Molecule: non-coding RNA, 131 nt
Filed under: unclassified sequences
Description: DUF3800-I RNA
Rfam family: DUF3800-I RNA
About the family: Actinobacteria, Firmicutes, Fusobacteria, Proteobacteria (1 example), Tenericutes (2 examples). Terminator (Clostridia)
Source: Rfam by way of RNAcentral